CAGCCGCCACGGUAAUACGAAGGGUGCAAGCGUUACUCGGAAUUACUGGGCGUAAAGCGUGCGUAGGUGGUGGUUUAAGUCCGUUGUGAAAGCCCUGGGCUCAACCUGGGAAUUGCAGUGGAUACUGGGUCACUAGAGUGUGGUAGAGGAUAGUGGAAUUUCCGGUGUAGCAGUGAAAUGCGUAGAGAUCGGAAGGAACAUCUGUGGCGAAGGCGACUAUCUGGGCCAACACUGACACUGAGGCACGAAAGCGUGGGGAGCAAACAGGAUUAGAUACCCCUGUAGUCCUGUCUCUUAUACC
Molecule: ribosomal RNA, 301 nt
Filed under: uncultured bacterium
Lineage: Bacteria
Description: partial 16S ribosomal RNA
Rfam family: Bacterial small subunit ribosomal RNA
Source: RNAcentral